Schistocerca nitens (vagrant locust) is the source of this 1264-nucleotide RNA transcript. It is a transcript of the gene named retinal rod rhodopsin-sensitive cGMP 3',5'-cyclic phosphodiesterase subunit delta, with no coding region annotated. The record is from RefSeq and is a predicted model, not a curated record. The transcript is spliced from 7 exons. NCBI's taxonomy places the organism in Eukaryota, Metazoa, Arthropoda, Insecta, Orthoptera, Acrididae.
CUUUGUGUCAGUCAGUGUGUUCUGCUACCUGCUGUGGUUGUUUAUGGAUGUAGCCCGCUGCAGGCCUACAAUCGUGUUUAUAGUUGUGUUGUGAGUUCAAUGUUCGAUUAUGGAGGACAGCACAGAAUCAGCAGCAGAAACGACAGUAGAGUCGGAGGAUUCAGAACUCACUAAGGCACCGCAUAGGGGUGAAGAGAUUAUGAAAGGGUUCCAGGUUAACUGGAUGGUAUUAAGAGAUGCUGACACUGGAAAAAUUCUGUGGCAAGGCUAUCAAGAUUUGUCAGUACCAGAUGUCGAACAUGAAGCACGAGUUCCAAAGAAGAUCCUAAAGUGCCGAGCAGUCUCAAGAGAAAUAAAUUUUUCAUCUGCAGAAGCAAUGGAGAAGUUUAGAUUAGAACAGAAAGUGCUAUUUAAGGGACGAUGCCUAGAAGAAUGGUUUUUUGAGUUUGGAUAUGUUAUCCCAAAUUCUACCAAUACAUGGCAGUCUAUGUUUGAAGCAGCUCCUGAGUCACAGAUGAUGCCUGCUAACGUGCUGAAUGGCAACGUGGUCAUUGAAACGAAGUUCUUUGAUGAUGAUAUGCUUGUGUCAACUUCAAAAGUUCGCCUGUACUAUGUAUGAAACGUUGUACGUCGUGAUAUUACAAAGUGUGAGAUGGAGGCUGUAGCCAAAAGUUAAUGUGCAAGUGUCUUUUAAUUGUGUCUGUACUCAACUUAACAAGUAAUCGUUAUGGUUACCAUGAGGCACUUGUUAAUGAGUUGUGGAAGAUGUGCAAAGCAACAAUUCUUCUUGAUUAUGGAUUUUAAAAAUAGACAGGUAUCAGAGAAAAGUGAACUUUCUCUUCAGAUACCGUGAUUGUAUACAUUAUAGAUAAUAGUAAGAAGAAACAUCCACUAUUUUAUAUACAUGUAUAGAUAUAUGUAUUCAGUGAUCUCUUGUAACUUCAGUGCUUGUGCUAUUUGCAAUAAUUGUAAAACUUAAAUGGUCAAGCAGAACUCUGUCCUUACAUGAGACACAAUUUGUGUUUGCAUCACUUCUCGGGGUAACAGAGGUUAGAUGCCUCUGUUGUUCAAAAGACAAAUACUGCAUAAGACAUGCUGGGGUACUAAUCCAUUGCUUGGGAUCUAUAAUGCAAGUAAUUACUCUAAAAAGUGAGGGGUGUGAACUGUUACUGAGAAUUUGUGAUUCCAGACACAAUGGUACUGCAAACUAAAACCUUAUUUCAAUGUGUUGGGAACAUCAUAAUAAAGGAUUUUAUUGUAUUUA